AUCCUUUUGUAGUUUGUGAGCAUGAUGAUUGGGUGUUCACACGCAUGCAUGAGAUGUGCCACCCUUAAACCUUGUUACAAUGUCAGCACAUUAACCGUCUGAUC
This is a small nucleolar RNA of Cercocebus atys (sooty mangabey), 104 nucleotides long. The record is from Ensembl. NCBI's taxonomy places the organism in Eukaryota, Metazoa, Chordata, Mammalia, Primates, Cercopithecidae.